UGAGGAAUAUUGGGCAAUGCCCGCAAGGGUGACCCAGCAACGCCGCGUGGAGGAUGAAUGUCGUAAGAUUGUAAACUCCUGUUAGAGGGGAAGAAUAGUACCGGUUGGACCGGUAUAUGACUGUACCCUCAGAGAAAGCCCCGGCUAACUACGUGCCAGCAGCCGCGGUAAUACGUAGGGGGCAAGCGUUGUCCGGAUUUACUGGGUGUAAAGGGCGCGCAGGCGGGAUAAAAAGUCAGUGGUGAAAUCCUACAGCUUAACUGUAGAACUGCCUUUGAUACUUUUAUUCUUGAGUUCGGGAGAGGGAGACGGAAUUCCAGGUGUAGUGGUGAAAUACGUAGAUAUCUGGAAGAACACCAGUUGCGAAGGCGGUCUCUUGGUCCGACACUGACGCUGAGGCGCGAAAGCGU
Molecule: ribosomal RNA, 410 nt
Filed under: uncultured bacterium
Lineage: Bacteria
Description: bacterial SSU rRNA
Rfam family: Bacterial small subunit ribosomal RNA
Source: RNAcentral